UAUGUGAUCGUCUCUCGCAUAUCAAUAAGCGGAGGAAAAGAAACUAACAAGGAUUCCCCUAGUAACGGCGAGUGAGGCGGGAAGAGCUCAAAUUUGAAAUCUUAAAGGGUUUCCCUUUACGAAUUGUAGUUUAAAGAAGUGUUUUCUGUUGAGGUUUUGGUAAAAGUUCUUUGGAAUAGGACAUCAUAGAGGGUGAGAAUCCCGUAUUUGACCUUUACUUUCAACUUUGUGAUACACUUUCAAAGAGUCGGAUUGUUUGGGAAUGCAGUCCAAAAUGGGUGGUAAAUUUCAUCUAAAGCUAAAUAUUGGCGAGAGACCGAUAGCGAACAAGUACCGUGAGGGAAAGAUGAAAAGAACUUUGAAAAGAGAGUUAAACAGUACGUGAAAUUGUCAAAAGGGAAGCGUUUGACACCAGUGUUGUUUUUCUGAAAAUCAAUUAAAGAACUGUUUAUGCUAAGCUGUUUAGACUUUAUCAGCUAUCUGUUUAGUUUUGAGCUUUUCUUUAAUGCACUUUUCAGUUAACAAGUCAACAUCAAUUUCUUUUGCUGUAAAAAAGCUUGAGGAAGGUGGCUUGAGAUUCGUCUUAAGUGUUUAUAGCCUCUUGCCUAUGCAGUCGGAGAGAUUGAGGUCUGCAGCGUAGAUCCUUCGGGGCUAAAUGCAUUUGUGCUAAGUUAUAGCAUUUUAUAGACAACUUGUUGACUAUGAUUUGUCUUGUAGCUUACUCGCUUAUGUUAUUUUACCUACGCUUAGGAUGUUGAUAUGCAUGACUGAUAU
This 774-nucleotide ribosomal RNA is filed under the name uncultured Neocallimastigales. RNAcentral describes it as "partial large subunit ribosomal RNA". It matches the Rfam family "Eukaryotic large subunit ribosomal RNA", at positions 24 to 640 of the family's 3401-position model. The record is from RNAcentral. Lineage: Eukaryota; Fungi; Neocallimastigomycota; Neocallimastigomycetes; Neocallimastigales.